AGACAAUGACUGGUCCAACUCCAAACCAGGAAGCAGCAUCCAAAGCGUGUCACUGCUCUUCCCGAGAAAACUGAGAAGGAAUUUCUUUGCCUGAGGCUGGCGCUGGAAUAUCAAACAAAGGGGAUGCAAUGCAAAAGAAAGACAGUCCUUGGUCAGGAACCAAAGGCUUCAGAGCUCCAGAGGUACAUCAACUAUAACUAUCUGUGGCCCUUUUCUUGGCUUGUGCGAUCUUUGCACCAAGGCCCUAAGAUAGACGUCCCAGUUACUUUGUUACAUCUAGUGAUCGGCAAAGCACCUACCUUUUACUGGUGGCCUUGAACAGAACAUGAAAGUUAUUGCACAAUUACGAGGCAGUGAAGAAUUAUGGGAAGUUGCUAAACUGCACAACCGUGAAUCUUCUUUCCCUGAGGAACUGUUACGAAUCACUGUACUUAAAGAGAAUGGCGUUGAGGAAAUGGUUCGAAAACACAAAACGCAGACGUGAUUCCCCUCUUGCUUCUUGACCUUGUUGAUAAGUUUGACAGUAAACCCGAGGCUACGAAUCAGUGCAGAGGACCCUUAGAAGACAAAGGCUCCAUAAGCAGCAAACGCAACCGCAGCCUUCAGUGGCAGUGGUUGCUGCCGCAGUAGGACAAGCACCCAGCUAAUGAUAGAAAUGUAAAAGUAAAUAACCAAACAUUUGAAGUUUUAUAUUUCCUCAAUUCUUUACACACUUAGUAUGAAUGGAUAGCCAACUGUUCUGUAGCUCGUUACUUGCUACUUAGAUUCAAACCUUUAAAACGAUAAAACUAUUCUAUUUGUCAGA
Long non-coding RNA from Brassica oleracea var. oleracea, 805 nucleotides. RefSeq lists it as uncharacterized. The transcript is spliced from 4 exons. Lineage: Eukaryota; Viridiplantae; Streptophyta; Magnoliopsida; Brassicales; Brassicaceae. The record is from RefSeq and is a predicted model, not a curated record.